CCUGAUGCAGCGACGCCGCGUGAGGGAUGACGGCCUUCGGGUUGUAAACCUCUUUCAGUAGGGAAGAAGCGUAAGUGACGGUACCUGCAGAAGAAGCGCCGGCUAACUACGUGCCAGCAGCCGCGGUAAUACGUAGGGCGCAAGCGUUAUCCGGAAUUAUUGGGCGUAAAGAGCUCGUAGGCGGUUUGUCGCGUCUGCUGUGAAAGACCGGGGCUCAACUCCGGUUCUGCAGUGGGUACGGGCAGACUAGAGUGAUGUAGGGGAGACUGGAAUUCCUGGUGUAGCGGUGAAAUGCGCAGAUAUCAGGAGGAACACCGAUGGCGAAGGCAGGUCUCUGGGCAUUAACUGACGCUGAGGAGCGAAAGCAUGGGGAGCGAACAGGAUUAGAUACCCUGGUAGUCCAUGCCGUAAACGUUGGGCACUAGGUGUGGGGGACAUUCCACGUUUUCCGCGCCGUAGCUAACGCAUUAAGUGCCCCGCCUGGGGAGUACGGCCGCAAGGCUA
Molecule: ribosomal RNA, 504 nt
Filed under: Arthrobacter sp. D20
Lineage: Bacteria; Bacillati; Actinomycetota; Actinomycetes; Micrococcales; Micrococcaceae
Description: bacterial SSU rRNA
Rfam family: Bacterial small subunit ribosomal RNA
Source: RNAcentral